This 245-nucleotide ribosomal RNA is filed under the name uncultured bacterium. RNAcentral describes it as "partial 16S ribosomal RNA". It matches the Rfam family "Bacterial small subunit ribosomal RNA", at positions 524 to 768 of the family's 1533-position model. The record is from RNAcentral.
UACGGAAGGUGCGAGCGUUGUUCGGAAUCACUGGGCGUAAAGGGCGCGUAGGCGGAUUUGCAAGUCGAUUGUGAAAGCCCCGGGCUUAACCUGGGAAUUGCAGUCGAAACUGCAAACCUUGAAUGCUAGAGAGGGUGGCGGAAUUCCUGGUGUAGAAGUGAAAUUCGUAGAUAUCAGGAGGAACACCGGAGGCGAAGGCGGCUACCUGGCUAUGCAUUGACGCUGAGGCGCGAAAGCGUGGGGAG